UGGGGAAUUUUGGACAAUUGGGCGAAAGCCUGAUCCAGCAAUGCCGCGUGUGUGAAGAAGGCCUUCGGGUUGUAAAGCACUUUUGUCCGGAAAGAAAUCCUUGGCUCUAAUACAGUCGGGGGAUGACGGUACCGGAAGAAUAAGCACCGGCUAACUACGUGCCAGCAGCCGCGGUAAUACGUAGGGUGCAAGCGUUAGUCGGAAUUACUGGGCGUAAAGCGUGCGCAGGCGGUUUGCUAAGACCGAUGUGAAAUCCCCGGGCUCAACCUGGGAACUGCAUUGGUGACUGGCAGGCUAGAGUAUGGCAGAGGGGGGUAGAAUUCCACGUGUAGCAGUGAAAUGCGUAGAGAUGUGGAGGAAUACCGAUGGCGAAGGCAGCCCCCUGGCAAGUACUGACGCUCAUGCACGAAAAGCGUGGGGAGCAAACNGGAUUAAUNCCCUGGUAGUCCACGCCCUAAAANGAUGUCAACUAGUUGUUGGGGAUUCAUUUUCCUUAGUAACGUAGCUAACGCGUGAAGUUGACCGCCUGGGGAGUACGGUCGCAAGAUUAAAACUUAAAUAAUUGACGGGUCAUGCUGUUU
RNAcentral lists this ribosomal RNA (581 nucleotides) under uncultured bacterium. Its description in RNAcentral is "partial 16S ribosomal RNA". It matches the Rfam family "Bacterial small subunit ribosomal RNA", at positions 355 to 935 of the family's 1533-position model. The record is from RNAcentral.